Molecule: ribosomal RNA, 424 nt
Filed under: uncultured bacterium
Lineage: Bacteria
Description: partial 16S ribosomal RNA
Rfam family: Bacterial small subunit ribosomal RNA
Source: RNAcentral
GUGGGGAAUAUUGGACAAUGGGCGAAAGCCUGAUCCAGCAAUGCCGCGUGAGUGAUGAAGGCCUUAGGGUUGUAAAGCUCUUUUACCCGGGAUGAUAAUGACAGUACCGGGAGAAUAAGCUCCGGCUAACUCCGUGCCAGCAGCCGCGGUAAUACGGAGGGAGCUAGCGUUGUUCGGAAUUACUGGGCGUAAAGCGCACGUAGGCGGCUUUGUAAGUUAGAGGUGAAAGCCUGGAGCUUAACUCCAGAACUGCCUUUAAGACUGCAUCGCUUGAAUCCAGGAGAGGUGAGUGGAAUUCCGAGUGUAGAGGUGAAAUUCGUAGAUAUUCGGAAGAACACCAGUGGCGAAGGCGGCUCACUGGACUGGUAUUGACGCUGAGGUGCGAAAGCGUGGGAGCAAACAGGAUUAGAAACCCUGGUAGUCC